ACUGCUCAGUAACACGUGGAUAACCUACCCAAGAGUCCGGGAUAACCCCGGGAAACUGGGGAUAAUACCGGAUAACGCACAUAUGCUGGAAUGCUUUAUGCGUAAAAUGGAUUCGUCUGCCCAAGGAUGGGUCUGCGGCCUAUCAGGUAGUAGUGGGUGUAAUGUACCUACUAGCCAACAACGGGUACGGGUUGUGAGAGCAAGAGCCCGGAGAUGGAUUCUGAGACAUGAAUCCAGGCCCUACGGGGCGCAGCAGGCGCGAAAACUUUACAAUGCGGGAAACCGUGAUAAGGGGACACCGAGUGCCAGCAUCAUAUGCUGGCUGUCCGGGUGUGUAAAAUACACCUGUUAGCAAGGGCCGGGCAAGACCGGUGCCAGCCGCCGCGGUAACACCGGCGGCCCGAGUGGUGAUCGUGAUUAUUGGGUCUAAAGGGUCCGUAGCCGGUUUGGUCAGUCCUCCGGGAAAUCUGACAGCUCAACUGUUAGGCUUUCGGAGGAUACUGCCAGACUUGGAACCGGGAGAGGUAAGAGGUACUACAGGGGUAGGAGUGAAAUCUUGUAAUCCCUGUGGGACCACCUGUGGCGAAGGCGUCUUACCAGAACGGGUUCGACGGUGAGGGACGAAAGCUGGGGGCACGAACCGGAUUAAAUACCCGGGUAGUCCCAGCCGUAAACGAUGCUCGCUAGGUGUCAGGCAUGGCGCGACCGUGUCUGGUGCCGCAGGGAAGCCGUGAAGCGAGCCACCUGGGAAGUACGGCCGCAAGGCUGAAACUUAAAGGAAUUGGCGGGGGAGCAC
Molecule: ribosomal RNA, 796 nt
Filed under: uncultured archaeon
Lineage: Archaea
Description: bacterial SSU rRNA
Rfam family: Archaeal small subunit ribosomal RNA
Source: RNAcentral